GAUGAACGCUGGCGGCGUGCCUAAUACAUGCGAGUCGAGCGAACAGACGAGGAGCUUGCUCCCCUGACGUUAGCGGCAGACGGGUGAGUAACACGUGGAUAACCUACCUAUAAGACUGGGAUAACUUCGGGAAACCGGAGCUAAUACCGGAUAAUAUAUUGAACCGCAUGGUUCAAUAGUGAAAGACGGUUUUGCUGUCACUUAUAGAUGGAUCCGCGCCGCAUUAGCUAUUUGGUAAGGUAACGGCUUACCAAGGCAACGAUGCGUAGCCGACCUGAGAGGGUGAUCGGCCACACUAGAACUGAGACACGGUCCAGACUCCUACGGGAGGCAGCAGUAGGGAAUCUUCCGCAAUGGGCGAAAGCCUGACGGAGCAACGCCGCGUGAGUGAUGAAGGUCUUCGGAUCGUAAAACUCUGUUAUUAGGGAAGAACAAAUGUGUAAGUAACUAUGCACGUCUUGACGGUACCUAAUCAGAAAGCCACGGCUAACUACGUG
RNAcentral lists this ribosomal RNA (497 nucleotides) under uncultured bacterium. Its description in RNAcentral is "partial 16S ribosomal RNA". It matches the Rfam family "Bacterial small subunit ribosomal RNA", at positions 28 to 507 of the family's 1533-position model. The record is from RNAcentral.